RNAcentral lists this ribosomal RNA (431 nucleotides) under uncultured bacterium. RNAcentral describes it as "partial 16S ribosomal RNA". It matches the Rfam family "Bacterial small subunit ribosomal RNA", at positions 29 to 507 of the family's 1533-position model. The record is from RNAcentral.
AACGAACGCUGGCGGCAGGCUUAACACAUGCAAGUCGAACGCCCCGCAAGGGUAGUGGCAGACGGGUGAGUAACGCGUGGGAACAUACCCUUUUCUACGGAAUAGCUCUGGGAAACUGGAAUUAAUACCGUAUACGCCCUACGGGGGAAAGAUUUAUCGGGGAAGGAUUGGCCCGCGUUUGAUUAGCUAGUUGGUGGGGUAAAGGCCUACCAAGGCGACGAUCCAUAGCUGGUCUGAGAGGAUGAUCAGCCACAUUGGGACUGAGACACGGCCCAAACUCCUACGGGAGGCAGCAGUGGGGAAUAUUGGACGAUGGGCGCAAGCCUGAUCCAGCCAUGCCGCGUGAGUGAUGAAGGCCUUAGGGUUGUAAAGCUCUUUCACCGAUGAAGAUAAUGACGGUAGUCGGAGAAGAAGCCCCGGCUAACUUCGUG